UACGGGGGGAGCAAGCGUUGUUCGGAUUUACUGGGCGUAAAGGGCGCGUAGGCGGUCAGCACAAGUCAGUUGUGAAAUCUCCGAGCUUAACUCGGAAAGGUCAACUGAUACUGUGCGACUAGAGUGCGGAAGGGGCAACUGGAAUUCUUGGUGUAGCGGUGAAAUGCGUAGAUAUCGAGAGGAACACCUGCGGCGAAGGCGGGUUGCUGGGCUGAUACUGACGCUGAGGCGCGAAAGCUAGGGGAGCGAACGGG
RNAcentral lists this ribosomal RNA (254 nucleotides) under uncultured bacterium. RNAcentral's name for it is "partial 16S ribosomal RNA". It matches the Rfam family "Bacterial small subunit ribosomal RNA", at positions 524 to 776 of the family's 1533-position model. The record is from RNAcentral.